GAUGAACGCUGACAGAAUGCUUAACACAUGCAAGUCAACUUGAACUUCGGUUUGGGUGGCGGACGGGUGAGUAACGCGUAAAGAACUUGCCUCACAGAUAGGGACAACAUUUGGAAACGAAUGCUAAUACCUGAUAUUAUGAUUUUAGGGCAUCCUAGGAUUAUGAAAGCUAUAUGCGCUGUGAGAGAGCUUUGCGUCCCAUUAGCUAGUUGGAGAGGUAACGGCUCACCAAGGCGAUGAUGGGUAGCCGGCCUGAGAGGGUGAUCGGCCACAAGGGGACUGAGACACGGCCCUUACUCCUACGGGGGGCAGCAGUGGGGAAUAUUGGACAAUGGACCAAGAGUCUGAUCCAGCAAUUCUGUGUGCACGAUGAAGUUUUUCGGAAUGUAAAGUGCUUUCAGUUGGGAAGAAAAAAAUGACGGUACCAACAGAAGAAGUGACGGCUAAAUACGUGCCAGCAGCCGCGGUAAUACGUAUGUCACAAGCGUUAUCCGGAUUUAUUGGGCGUAAAGCGCGUCUAGGUGGUUAUGUAAGUCUGAUGUGAAAAUGCAGGGCUCAACUCUGUAUUGCGUUGGAAACUGUGUAACUAGAGUACUGGAGAGGUAAGCGGAACUACAAGUGUAGAGGUGAAAUUCGUAGAUAUUUGUAGGAAUGCCGAUGGGGAAGCCAGCUUACUGGACAGAUACUGACGCUGAAGCG
RNAcentral lists this ribosomal RNA (699 nucleotides) under uncultured Fusobacteriota bacterium. RNAcentral's name for it is "bacterial SSU rRNA". It matches the Rfam family "Bacterial small subunit ribosomal RNA", at positions 28 to 753 of the family's 1533-position model. The record is from RNAcentral. Lineage: Bacteria; Fusobacteriati; Fusobacteriota.